UGGGGAAUAUUGGACAAUGGAUGGAAAUCUGAUCCAGCCAUGCCGCGUGCAGGAAGACGGCCCUAUGGGUUGUAAACUGCUUUUGUAUGGGAGCAAUAAGAUCUACGUGUAGAUUGAUGAGAGUACCAUACGAAUAAGCACCGGCUAACUCCGUGCCAGCAGCCGCGGUAAUACGGAGGGUGCAAGCGUUAUCCGGAUUUAUUGGGUUUAAAGGGUGCGUAGGCGGUUUGAUAAGUCAGCGGUGAAAUAUUUCAGCUUAACUGGAAGGGUGCCGUUGAUACUGUCGAGCUUGAAUUUAGUUGCUGUGGGUGGAAUGUGUGGUGUAGCGGUGAAAUGCAUAGAUAUCACACAGAAUAUCGAUUGCGAAGGCAGCUCACAAAGCUAAUAUUGACGCUGAUGCACGAAAGUGUGGGGAUCAAACAGGAUUAGAUACCCUGGUAGUCCACACUGUAAACGAUGAUAACUCGCUGUCGGCGAUACACAGUCGGUGGCCAAGCGAAAGCGAUAAGUUAUCCACCUGGGGAGUACGACCGCAAGGUUG
RNAcentral lists this ribosomal RNA (541 nucleotides) under uncultured bacterium. Its description in RNAcentral is "bacterial SSU rRNA". It matches the Rfam family "Bacterial small subunit ribosomal RNA", at positions 355 to 896 of the family's 1533-position model. The record is from RNAcentral.